RNAcentral lists this small RNA (147 nucleotides) under Pongo abelii (Sumatran orangutan). RNAcentral describes it as "Metazoan signal recognition particle RNA (ENSPPYG00000039266.1)". The record is from Rfam by way of RNAcentral. Lineage: Eukaryota; Metazoa; Chordata; Mammalia; Primates; Hominidae.
GCCAGGUGUGUUGGCGGGCGCCUGUAAUCCCAGCUACUCGGGAGGCUGAGGCAGGAGGAUCGCUUGAGGCCAGGAGUUGGAGGCUGCAGUGAGUCAUGAUUGUGCCACUGCAUUCCAGCCUGGGCAACAGAGUGAGACCUGUCUCUU